This 190-nucleotide non-coding RNA is filed under the name Halanaerobium salsuginis. The record is from RNAcentral. Lineage: Bacteria; Bacillati; Bacillota; Clostridia; Halanaerobiales; Halanaerobiaceae.
UAGAACUAAAAGCUGAAUCAGCCAAAUGAGAGAGUAACGUCUUGAAGGGCUGUCGUUAAUACUCCGAAUUGCAUUGAUUUGAUUAAGCGGAUUAAUGUAAUAAGCUCGGUGAAGUCGGGUGAGAGUUACCGUAAUUAUACGAAAGUUAUCUUAGUAGGAUAAUGUAACCUAUAGCUCGGACGCCUGUAAA